This 497-nucleotide ribosomal RNA is filed under the name uncultured bacterium. Its description in RNAcentral is "partial 16S ribosomal RNA". It matches the Rfam family "Bacterial small subunit ribosomal RNA", at positions 28 to 507 of the family's 1533-position model. The record is from RNAcentral.
GAUGAACGCUGGCGGUGUGCCUAAUACAUGCAAGUCGAGCGAACAGACGAGGAGCUUACUCCUCUGACGUUAGCGGCGGACGGGUGAGUAACACGUGGAUAACCUACCUAUAAGACUGGGAUAACUUCGGGAAACCGGCGCUAAUACCGGAUAACAUGUUGAACCGCAUGGUUCAACAGUGAAAGACGGUCUUGCUGUCACUUAUAGAUGGAUCCGCGUCGCAUUAGCUAGUUGGUAAGGUAACGGCUUACCAGGGCAACGAUGCGUAGCCGACCUGAGAGGGUGAUCGGCCACACUGGAACUGAGACGCGGUCCAGACUCCUACGGGAGGCAGCAGUAGGGAAUCUGCCGCAAUGGGCGAAAGCCUGACGGAGCAACGCCGAGUGAGUGAAGAAGGUCUUCGGAUCGUAAAACUCUGUUAUUAGGGAAGAACAAAUGUGUAAGUAACUAUGCACGUCUUGACGGUACCGAAUCAGAAAGCCACGGCUAACUACGUG